GUCGAGCGAAUGAUGAAGAAGCUUGCUUCUUCUGAUUUAGCGGCGGACGGGUGAGUAACACGUGGGCAACCUGCCCUGUAGAUUGGGAUAACUCCGGGAAACCGGGGCUAAUACCGAAUAAUCCAUUUCCUCACAUGAGGAGAUGUUAAAAGACGGUUUCGGCUGUCACUACAGGAUGGGCCCGCGGCGCAUUAGCUAGUUGGUGAGGUAACGGCUCACCAAGGCGACGAUGCGUAGCCGACCUGAGAGGGUGAUCGGCCACACUGGGACUGAGACACGGCCCAGACUCCUACGGGAGGCAGCAGUAGGGAAUCUUCCACAAUGGACGAAAGUCUGAUGGAGCAACGCCGCGUGAGUGAAGAAGGUUUUCGGAUCGUAAAACUCUGUUGUGAGGGAAGAACAAGUACGAGAGUAACUGCUCGUACCUUGACGGUACCUCAUUAGAAAGCCACGGCUAACUACGUGCCAGCAGCCGCGGUAAUACGUAGGUGGCAAGCGUUGUCCGGAAUUAUUGGGCGUAAAGCGCGCGCAGGCGGUCCUUUAAGUCUGAUGUGAAAGCCCACGGCUCAACCGUGGAGGGUCAUUGGAAACUGGGGGACUUGAGUGCAGAAGAGGAAAGCGGAAUUCCAAGUGUAGCGGUGAAAUGCGUAGAGAUUUGGAGGAACACCAGUGGCGAAGGCGGCUUUCUGGUCUGUAACUGACGCUGAGGCGCGAAAGCGUGGGGAGCAAACAG
This 733-nucleotide ribosomal RNA is filed under the name Bacillus sp. DST107. RNAcentral's name for it is "bacterial SSU rRNA". It matches the Rfam family "Bacterial small subunit ribosomal RNA", at positions 61 to 775 of the family's 1533-position model. Lineage: Bacteria; Bacillati; Bacillota; Bacilli; Caryophanales; Bacillaceae. The record is from RNAcentral.